CCUACGGGAGUCAGCAGUGAGGAAUAUUGGUCAAUGGGCGCGAGCCUGAACCAGCCAAGUCGCGUGAGGGAAGACGGCCCUACGGGUUGUAAACCUCUUUUGCCGGGGAGCAACGGGCGCCACGUGUGGCGCCACGGAGAGAACCCGGAGAAAAAGCAUAGGCUAACUCCGUGCCAGCAGGCGCGGUAAUACGGCGGAUGCGAGCGUUAUCCGGAUUUAUUGGGUUUAAAGGGUGCGUAGGCGGAGCGUGAAGUCAGUGGUCAACUGGAAGGCCGCACCCCCUUCCCGCCAUUGAAACUGGCGCUCUUGAGUGGAAGAGCAGUAUGCGGCCUGCGUGGUGUAGCGGUGACCUGCAUCGCUCUCACGC
Molecule: ribosomal RNA, 367 nt
Filed under: uncultured bacterium
Lineage: Bacteria
Description: partial 16S ribosomal RNA
Rfam family: Bacterial small subunit ribosomal RNA
Source: RNAcentral